This 249-nucleotide ribosomal RNA is filed under the name uncultured Sphingomonas sp. Its description in RNAcentral is "partial 16S ribosomal RNA". It matches the Rfam family "Bacterial small subunit ribosomal RNA", at positions 355 to 621 of the family's 1533-position model. Lineage: Bacteria; Pseudomonadati; Pseudomonadota; Alphaproteobacteria; Sphingomonadales; Sphingomonadaceae. The record is from RNAcentral.
UGGGGAAUAUUGGACAAUGGGCGAAAGCCUGAUCCAGCAAUGCCGCGUGAGUGAUGAAGGCCCUAGGGUUGUAAAGCUCUUUUACCCGGGAUGAUAAUGACAGUACCGGGAGAAUAAGCCCCGGCUAACUCCGUGCCAGCAGCCGCGGUAAUACGGAGGGGGCUAGCGUUGUUCGGAAUUACUGGGCGUAAAGCGCGCGUAGGCGGCUUUGUAAGUCAGGGGUGAAAGCCCAGAGCUCAACUCUGGAAU